UUCCUGCAGUUUUCUCCACAUCCUCUCCUUGUCUGGUUAUUCAGGAUGAAUACAUGCAUCCAGUGUAAAUGCUGACCUGAAAAGUAAGUCACAUGCUGGCCUUGAGUAGGCUGCGUGAUUAUGUGGAGCUUGCAUGGCAAUACUGCCCCAUGGUGAUGACAAUUCAGUCAGAGAGCUGGACCUCAGACAAAUGUCCAGCUGGAUGGAUAAAUGCUGAAGGAAGUCUGCCAGAAAAACAACUGUCAGAACAGGCUUUUCUGUAAAGAGAAAAGGUUUGUCUGAUUUAGGUCGUAGUUAUCUGAGAAGACACCUUUUCUUCCCUAUGUAAUACUGCAGCUGUUGAAAGAACCUGCCAAGGGAGCAAUCUCUGGAUUGAACCACCUCAAGUCCGUCAUCUGUGUAACUGGAUUCCUCUGCUGAUCAACUGGACACAUCACAAUAGUGUUUCUGAAAACAAAC
Molecule: long non-coding RNA, 459 nt
Organism: Pogoniulus pusillus (Red-fronted tinkerbird)
Lineage: Eukaryota; Metazoa; Chordata; Aves; Piciformes; Lybiidae
Exons: 3
Source: RefSeq, a predicted model, not a curated record